This 253-nucleotide ribosomal RNA is filed under the name uncultured bacterium. RNAcentral describes it as "partial 16S ribosomal RNA". It matches the Rfam family "Bacterial small subunit ribosomal RNA", at positions 524 to 776 of the family's 1533-position model. The record is from RNAcentral.
UACAGAGGGUGCGAGCGUUAAUCGGAAUUACUGGGCGUAAAGCGUGCGUAGACGGUUAUUUAAGUCGGGUGUGAAAGCCCCGGGCUCAACCUGGGAAUUGCAUUCGAGACUGAAUAGCUAGGGUACGGUAGAGGGAAGCGGAAUUUCCGGUGUAGCGGUGAAAUGCGUAGAUAUCGGAAGGAACAUCAGUGGCGAAAGCGGCUUCCUGGUCCAGCACCGACGUUCAGGCACGAAAGCGUGGGGAGCAAACAGG